RNAcentral lists this ribosomal RNA (406 nucleotides) under Labiotermes labralis. Its description in RNAcentral is "partial 16S ribosomal RNA". Lineage: Eukaryota; Metazoa; Arthropoda; Insecta; Blattodea; Termitidae. The record is from RNAcentral.
CAAAAACAUCUUUUCUUGUUAGUUUUUGAAGUAUGGCCUGCCCACUGACGUUUAAAGUUGAAGGGCCGCGGUAUUUUGACCGUGCAAAGGUAGCAUAAUCAUUAGUUCUUUAAUUGUGAUCUGGUAUGAAUGGCUUGACGAGACACUAACUGUCUUAGGAGAAUUGGAUUAUAAAAAUUGAAUUUAGGUUUUGGGUUAAAAUACUCAGAUGUUUUUAUGGGACGAGAAGACCCUAUAGAGUUUUACAUUUAAUUUGUUUUUGUUUAAUUGUUUGUUUACUGUUUUGAGUAGGAUUUAAUGUUUUGUUGGGGUGAUGGGAGGAAUAUUAUUUAACUCCUCUUUUAUUUUAUAUAUUUAUAUAUAUUUAUUUGAUCCAUUUAUUUUGAUUAUAAGAUUAAAUUACCUU